Dicentrarchus labrax (European seabass) is the source of this 1247-nucleotide long non-coding RNA. RefSeq lists it as uncharacterized. NCBI's taxonomy places the organism in Eukaryota, Metazoa, Chordata, Actinopteri, Moronidae. The transcript has 3 exons. The record is from RefSeq and is a predicted model, not a curated record.
AGCCUGUACGAGCACACAGUCAUGAAACAAGCAGCAAAAAUCAAUGUGGACCCUCAACAUCCCCUCCUUUCUGAAAAUGGACCUCUACCAUCAGGAAGAAGAUUCCUUGACUUGUUCACAACUCGGCAGGGCACUUUUUAAAGUAUUUUUACGAUCUCACGUGAGCUCCUCUUCCACCCCGUCUGCAGAGGGGACACCGCCCUGUCUGGCCUCUGUGGCGACCUGAGGUGCACCGUGAUUGGCUGAAGCAGGGAAACUGCAAUGGGAGAAACCGCGAGUGGCAGACAGGCAUAGCCAGACAAAAACACAGGGCGGCCUGCCAGCUACUGUCCCUGAGGGAUGAGGACUAGAGAUCGAGAACACGGACUGAGUGCCUGGCUGGCUGCUGGACAAAAUGAGCUGUUUUUAACUACAAGGGGAGUGGGUCCUCUUCCACGGAGGCUGCCAUGUUGACCCAUCAUGUUUCUACAGUAGCCCAGAAUGGACAAACCAAACACCGGUUCUUGAUAGGGUCCUCUGUGUUUUUUAGAGUUGAGUUGAGUUUCAUGAGUUUUGUGGCCGCCGUAGUUUAUUGCUACAUGCUUUGAAGGGAGACCAAGUAAACAUUUCAGUUUAUGGUCACAAUUGCUGGUUUCAAGUCUUCUUCCAUAUGACAUAAUGUACAUUUUGUAAAUUAUGGUCCCAUUAAGAGUAAAAUAAGAAUACUUUAGGGCGUGGCUACCUUGUACUGGACAAGUCCCUACCAUGGCAUGUCCUGAGGGCUCUCAGUCAGAAGAGGUGUAGCGAUGCCUAUCCUCCCUCACCUCGAAACUAUUCCAAAUAUGGCUCCAAAUGUGGUUGCCAGAACUCAAGGCUUCAAAAAAACAAUGGGUGAUGUCAUGGUGGGUGUGAACCUAUUGUGACGUCAUUCAUUGGUUUGUCGAGUACUGAUUUGUGUAUAAUAUGUUUUAAAAUCACACCACUAGCUUAGCAUUGGUCAUAUAACCAUAGUCAUAAAGUGCUGCUGAAUCACCUGGGAAGGGCAGGAGCUACUAGAGAAGAUCAGAAAUCAUGUUCAACUCAAACAAAUAAAUAAAAGUACAGCGCAUCAGUUCUAACUUUUUUAAACUGUGAGAACACAAAACUUGCUAUUAUAUGUUAUUGUGAGUUUCUUUUUUUCCUCCUGCAUUUUUAAUGAUGAUCAGCAGAUCACAGCGAAAAGUUCUGUAAUCUGUCUUCUUGUUCUUCUUAGGUCCUUGUUUGUUUUA